AGAGUUUGAUCUUGGCUCAGGAUGAACGCCGGCGGUGUGCCUAAUACAUGCAAGUCGUACGCACUGGCCCAACUGAUUGAUGGUGCUUGCACCUGAUUGACGAUGGAUCACCAGUGAGUGGCGGACGGGUGAGUAACACGUAGGUAACCUGCCCCGGAGCGGGGGAUAACAUUUGGAAACAGAUGCUAAUACCGCAUAACAACAAAAGCCACAUGGCUUUUGUUUAAAAGAUGGCUUUGGCUAUCACUCUGGGAUGGACCUGCGGUGCAUUAGCUAGUUGGUAAGGUAACGGCUUACCAAGGCGAUGAUGCAUAGCCGAGUUGAGAGACUGAACGGCCACAAUGGAACUGAGACACGGUCCAUACUCCUACGGGAGGCAGCAGUAGGGAAUCUUCCACAAUGGGCGCAAGCCUGAUGGAGCAACACCGCGUGAGUGAAGAAGGGUUUCGGCUUGUAAAGCUCUGUUGUUGGAGAAGAACGUGCGUGAGAGUAACUGUUCACGCAGUGACGGUAUCCAACCAGAAAGUCACGGCUAACUACGUGCCAGCAGCCGCGGUAAUACGUAGGUGGCAAGCGUUAUCCGGAUUUAUUGGGCGUAAAGCGAGCGCAGGCGGUUGCUUAGGUCUGAUGUGAAAGCCUUCGGCUUAACCGAAGAAGUGCAUCGGAAACCGGGCGACUUGAGUGCAGAAGGGGACAGUGGAACUCCAUGUGUAGCGGUGGAAUGCGUAGAUAUAUGGAAGAACACCAGUGGCGAAGGCGGCUGUCUGGUCUGCAACUGACGCUGAGGCUCGAAAGCAUGGGUAGCGAACAGGAUUAGAUACCCUGGUAGUCC
This 832-nucleotide ribosomal RNA is filed under the name uncultured bacterium. RNAcentral describes it as "bacterial SSU rRNA". It matches the Rfam family "Bacterial small subunit ribosomal RNA", at positions 8 to 796 of the family's 1533-position model. The record is from RNAcentral.